This 490-nucleotide ribosomal RNA is filed under the name uncultured bacterium. Its description in RNAcentral is "partial 16S ribosomal RNA". It matches the Rfam family "Bacterial small subunit ribosomal RNA", at positions 30 to 507 of the family's 1533-position model. The record is from RNAcentral.
AUUGAACGCUGGCGGCAGGCCUAACACAUGCAAUUCGAACGGUAACAGAAAGCAGCUUGCUGCUUUGCUGACGAGUGGCGGACGGGUGAGUAAUGUCUGGGAAACUUCCCGAUGGAGGGGGAUAACUACUGGAAACGGUAGCUAAUACCGCAUAACGUCGCAAGACCAAAGAGGGGGACCUUCGGGCCUCUUGCCAUCGGAUGUGCCCAGAUGGGAUUAGCUUGUUGGUGGGGUAACGGCUCACCAAGGCGACGAUCCCUAGCUGGUCUGAGAGGAUGACCAGCCACACUGGAACUGAGACACGGUCCAGACUCCUACGGGAGGCAGCAGUGGGGAAUAUUGCACAAUGGGCGCAAGCCUGAUGCAGCCAUGCCGCGUGUAUGAAGAAGGCCUUCGGGUUGUAAAGUACUUUCAGCGGGGAGGAAGGGAGUAAAGUUAAUACCUUUGCUCAUUGACGUUACCCGCAGAAGAAGCACCGGCUAACUCCGUG